RNAcentral lists this long non-coding RNA (245 nucleotides) under Rhinopithecus bieti (black snub-nosed monkey). RNAcentral's name for it is "lncRNA (ENSRBIG00000046098.1)". Lineage: Eukaryota; Metazoa; Chordata; Mammalia; Primates; Cercopithecidae. The record is from RNAcentral.
GGUUGUAGUUUCUGAUUUAUACAUAUGUAUAUACAGUUUCAGUCUACUGUAAAGGGAAGAGAAAGAAAGAAAACAGAGGAGAUUAUGAUAUGGAUGGAUGAUGGAAGGAAAGAUCUAUGAAUUUAAUAUCUGAGUUUCAGUUACUGGACUUUACUUCUUCCAGAAAGUCAGGCCAAAAGAACAAAGUCCUAGAAGGUCUUCUGGUGAGUCACAUUCUGAGCAGGAAAUCUGGCAUUGAGGCAUAA